Molecule: ribosomal RNA, 253 nt
Filed under: uncultured bacterium
Lineage: Bacteria
Description: partial 16S ribosomal RNA
Rfam family: Bacterial small subunit ribosomal RNA
Source: RNAcentral
UACGUAGGGGGCAAGCGUUGUCCGGAAUUAUUGGGCGUAAAGAGCGCGUAGGCGGUCCGAUAAGUCGGCUGUGAAAGUCACAGGCUCAACCUGUGGAUGCCGCUGGAAACUGUUUGGCUCGAGUCCGGAAGGGGCGAGUGGAAUUCCUGGUGUAGCGGUGAAAUGCGCAGAUAUCAGGAGGAACACCAAUGGCGAAGGCAGCUCGCUGGGACGGUACUGACGCUGAGGCGCGAAAGCGUGGGGAGCGAACAGG